Long non-coding RNA from Zonotrichia leucophrys gambelii, 656 nucleotides. RefSeq lists it as uncharacterized. The transcript is spliced from 3 exons. Lineage: Eukaryota; Metazoa; Chordata; Aves; Passeriformes; Passerellidae. The record is from RefSeq and is a predicted model, not a curated record.
CUGGGACAGACGGACAACGAGGAUGGAUCCCAGCACUGCUAUAGGGCAGAGACCUGGAGCUGCAGCAUCUCCACAGCCAAGGAUUGCCAUGGAAUAAAGCAAUCCCCAAAUUUAGGCCUUUUAUUGGGAAUGGCUCAAUCCAGCAGGGAAGGAUAAGGAAUAAACACCCCCGGAGAAAGGGGAACAUUCCUGGAGCAUCCCCACGGCCUCCUCUGGAUUCACUCCAUCAAUCCCACAUCGCUCCAGGGAGGAUCCAGCAGGAUCCUGGAAUUCCAGGGCUGUGCCCAUCACCCCUGGCAGCGCUGGAUUUUCCUCAUUCCGCUCGGAUCCCGCCUCAGCGGCCGCCUGUGGAUCCUGGAAGAAUUAAUCCCAACUGUUGUGAGCGAGGCGCGGCGCGCUUGUAACGGCGGGCCGCUAAUUAGGGCCCUGUAAUUGGAUCCAGCGCUGCCUGUAAAUCCAAUUACCUGGGAUUAGAGCUGUGCCGCGGCUCCGGAUCCUUCCCACUCCUUAAACUUUAUCCCAGGAAAGCUGGGAAGGUCUCCAGCUCCUUAUCACAGCCCCAAAAUCCUUCUCCCCAUUCCUUUUCUCCUGCCGGGAUGAGGGAAAAUGGGAAAGUUUCCAGCUCAUUAUUACAGCCCCAAAAUUCCCCCAAAUCU